This 253-nucleotide ribosomal RNA is filed under the name uncultured bacterium. Its description in RNAcentral is "partial 16S ribosomal RNA". It matches the Rfam family "Bacterial small subunit ribosomal RNA", at positions 524 to 776 of the family's 1533-position model. The record is from RNAcentral.
UACGGAGGGUGCAAGCGUUAUCCGGAUUCACUGGGUUUAAAGGGUGCGUAGGCGGGUAAGUAAGUCCGUGGUGAAAUCUCUGAGCUUAACUCGGAAACUGCCGUGGAUACUAUCAAUCUUGAAUACCGUGGAGGUCAGCGGAAUAUGUCAUGUAGCGGUGAAAUGCUUAGAGAUGACAUAGAACACCAAUUGCGAAGGCAGCUGGCUACACGAAUAUUGACACUGAUGCACGAAAGCGUGGGGAUCAAACAGG